CAUCUUCAACACUUAGAAACCUAUCAAGUAGCCAUGACAUGUCACCAUCUCCAAAUCCCUACACUUUAGUCAAAAAGGGAAAGAAAGGGGGUUAGCACAAUUAAGUACUAAGUAUGGAGACCAUGCAAGAAAAUAUGCACAACGGACACUUACAAGAAAUGUAUGCUUUCAUAUCAUUUUGAUAAAAACCUUCACUUCACAAGUAUAAGAGACAUAAUACAAGUCAAUGUUCACAUAUAAAACCAUAGCCAACCGUAUACAUACUCAACUUUAAAGGAACACAUGCCAUUUCAUUACCAUAGGACCUCUACCUAAUAUAACCUUAAGACACACUUGAGUAAGACAAGAAGUGACCGCCCAUACAACCUCUUCAAGCACACUUAAGAGUUCCUCAAGAUUACCUUAGAUAAGGACAUCUCCUUUACAACAUAACAUCAAUAGACCAACUUUCUUUAAGAAACCAUUUUGGAGACAUUCAAGCACAUAAGGGGACUUUCACAUAAUAGUCGUUAGACUUAGGGAACUCACUUUAGUAUCUUCAAAGCCUACUCGUGCCAUGUGUAGAUAGCAUCCCAUACUACU
Molecule: long non-coding RNA, 582 nt
Filed under: Solanum tuberosum (potato)
Lineage: Eukaryota; Viridiplantae; Streptophyta; Magnoliopsida; Solanales; Solanaceae
Description: long non-coding RNA (STUB_LNC006476)
Source: RNAcentral